This 514-nucleotide ribosomal RNA is filed under the name Sapromyza opaca. Its description in RNAcentral is "partial 16S ribosomal RNA". It matches the Rfam family "Bacterial large subunit ribosomal RNA", at positions 1837 to 2611 of the family's 2925-position model. Lineage: Eukaryota; Metazoa; Arthropoda; Insecta; Diptera; Lauxaniidae. The record is from RNAcentral.
UACAUGAUAGACGGUCUGACCUGCCCACUGAAUUUUUAAAUGGCCGCAGUAUAUUAACUGUGCAAAGGUAGCAUAAUCAUUAGUCUUUUAAUUGAAGGCUGGAAUGAAUGGUUGGACGAAAUAUUAACUGUUUCAUAUAAAUUUAUAAUAAAAUUUUAUUUUUUAGUCAAAAAGCUAAAAUUAAAUUAAAAGACGAGAAGACCCUAUAAAUCUUAAUAUUUUUAUUAUUAUAAUUAUAUAGAUUAAUUUUAUUAUAAUAAUUAAAUAUAUUUUAUUGGGGUGAUAUUAAAAUUUAAUAAACUUUUAAUUUAUUAAAUCAUUAAUUUAUGAAUAUAUGAUCCAGUUUUACUGAUUAAAAAUUUAAGUUACUUUAGGGAUAACAGCGUAAUUUUUUUGGAGAGUUCAUAUCGAUAAAAAAGAUUGCGACCUCGAUGUUGGAUUAAGAGAUAAAUUUGGGCGCAGCCGUUCAAAAGUUAAGUCUGUUCGACUUUUAAAUUCUUACGUGAUCUGAUUU